ACCUGGGGAUUUUAAAACCUUUCUUUAUUUGGGAAACAGCACGGUGAAAACUCGUCAUCCCAGUGAAGAAGAGGAAGAACGGGCUGCAGCAAUGGACACAGGGUUUAUAUCUAUUACUUUUGAAACCAAAGACACCAAAGGCUCAAUGAUGCAAGAAAAAAAUGCAAUGAAUGGUACGACACAGUCCUGUCCUCUAGGAAUCCACCAAAUAUCUGGGGAGAUGGCUAACCAGACAAACAUUCCAUUCCAAGUCAUAAUAGCAUAGAUGUUCUUGAUGGCAGAGAAGAUUUCAAAAGAUAAAGCAAACCUUUCUGCAAAGAGUUACUAGAAAAGGCUUCUUUGAAGACAUGAAAUCUGAAUGAUGGGUACAAUUCUGAUAGACAGAGAUGCAAGAUAGAGUCCUCCAAGCAGAGACAAUAGUAAGACCAAUGGCCAGGUGAUUUUUAAUUGAAUGGAAAAGUAAAUAUUGUACUUUUGUAGUAGUAUAAUAGUAUGGGAAAUACAGCUGAAAAGUGGAGCUAUGAUGUGUAAAGUGUUCCUGAGCAGGUCAGUCAAACUAUCAAAGGCAGUGUAAAAGCCAAGAUGCUCGAAAUAGAGACCAACAUGAUUCCUACAAACAUGUGAUCCUAU
Molecule: long non-coding RNA, 630 nt
Filed under: Fukomys damarensis (Damara mole-rat)
Lineage: Eukaryota; Metazoa; Chordata; Mammalia; Rodentia; Bathyergidae
Description: lncRNA (ENSFDAG00000029574.1)
Source: RNAcentral